This is a long non-coding RNA of Rhipicephalus sanguineus (brown dog tick), 324 nucleotides long. RefSeq lists it as uncharacterized. Lineage: Eukaryota; Metazoa; Arthropoda; Arachnida; Ixodida; Ixodidae. The record is from RefSeq and is a predicted model, not a curated record. The transcript has 4 exons.
UUUGGCUGAAAAAUCGCACAUAUCAAAGUGAUAUCACGUGCUUUUACAUAGUAAAAAAGAAACUUCAUAACAAUACUUACACGUUCUCUGAGUACUAUAGAGAAGGCAGUAUGCAGAAGAGGGGUAUUCUCGCUUCUGCUGAGCUCUCCAACAGUACAGAGGGGCCUGUAGUGAAGGUACGCCGGCCAGCAACCACAUACACGCUCAAGUAUUUGAAUCCUGAUGAAUGGUGCGGUGUUGUCACUGUCCAGAAGUCCGUCAAGUAUUUUUGACUCGCCACCCACAGCCACUGAAAACAUGACCGGGACAUACCACUUCGAAGUG